GACCUUGUAGCAUAGUCUGGAUAGUGUUGUGGGUUUCGGCCCCACCGGCCCGGGUUCGAAUCCCGGCAAGGUCU
Molecule: transfer RNA, 74 nt
Filed under: Nanoarchaeales archaeon
Lineage: Archaea; Nanobdellati; Nanobdellota; Candidatus Nanoarchaeia; Nanoarchaeales
Description: tRNA-Arg
Rfam family: tRNA
About the family: Transfer RNA (tRNA) molecules are approximately 80 nucleotides in length. Their secondary structure includes four short double-helical elements and three loops (D, anti-codon, and T loops).
Source: RNAcentral